UACGUAGGGUGCGAGCGUUGUCCGGAAUUAUUGGGCGUAAAGAGCUUGUAGGCGGUUUGUCGCGUCUGCUGUGAAAAUCCGGGGCUCAACCCCGGACUUGCAGUGGGUACGGGCAGACUAGAGUGUGGUAGGGGAGACUGGAAUUCCUGGUGUAGCGGUGAAAUGCGCAGAUAUCAGGAGGAACACCGAUGGCGAAGGCAGGUCCCUGGGCCACUACUGACGCUGAGAAGCGAAAGCAUGGGGAGCGAACAGG
Molecule: ribosomal RNA, 253 nt
Filed under: uncultured bacterium
Lineage: Bacteria
Description: partial 16S ribosomal RNA
Rfam family: Bacterial small subunit ribosomal RNA
Source: RNAcentral